This 252-nucleotide long non-coding RNA is filed under the name Elaeis guineensis (African oil palm). RNAcentral describes it as "long non-coding RNA (EGUI_LNC032928)". The record is from RNAcentral. Lineage: Eukaryota; Viridiplantae; Streptophyta; Magnoliopsida; Arecales; Arecaceae.
UCAUUAAACAUGCCAUCCUUUAGAAAUCUAGCUUUAUUAAUUUCUACUAUUUAUGGUAUAUGAGAUAGACAAUAAAAUCUAUACCCUUUUGAUUUCUUUAAAUGAAAAAAUCACUAGUCAUUCUAAGAUCAAAUACAAUGCUCUUGUAGGUUGUAAAGUUUGGCUUUAACUAAACAUCCUUAUAUACGCAUAAAUCCUAAACUAGAUUUUCUAAUGGUACAUAACUCAUCGGGAGUUCUUUGAGCUACCUUA